This 427-nucleotide ribosomal RNA is filed under the name uncultured marine bacterium. RNAcentral describes it as "bacterial SSU rRNA". It matches the Rfam family "Bacterial small subunit ribosomal RNA", at positions 360 to 804 of the family's 1533-position model. The record is from RNAcentral.
AAUAUUGCGCAAUGGGCGAAAGCCUGACGUAGCAUCGCCGCGUGGGGAAUGAAGGCCUCGGGUUGUAAUCCCCUUUCAGCAGGGAUGAAAAUGACGGUACUUGCAGAAAAAGCCCCGUCCAACUACUUGCCAGCAGCCGCGGUAACACGUAGGGGGCAAGCGUUUUCCGGAUUUAUUGGGCGUAAAGAGGUCGUAGGCAGUUGGGUAAGUCGGAUGUGAAAACUCAGGGCUCAACCCGGAGACGCCAUUUGAAACUGCGCUGAAUAGAGUCCGGUAGGGGAGCAGGGAAUUCUUGGUGUAGCGUUGAAAUACGCAGAUAUCAGGAGGAACACCAGUAGCGAAGGCGGGGCUCUGGGCCGGAACUGACGUUGAGGAGCGAAAGCGUGGGUGCCAAACAGGAUUAGAUACCCUGGUAGUCCCCCCCGUA